RNAcentral lists this long non-coding RNA (249 nucleotides) under Gossypium raimondii (Peruvian cotton). Its description in RNAcentral is "long non-coding RNA (GRAI_LNC010299)". The record is from RNAcentral. Lineage: Eukaryota; Viridiplantae; Streptophyta; Magnoliopsida; Malvales; Malvaceae.
UCGACACAAAUGCAUUUUGAGCUUCAUCAAUACAUCAUUCUAAUGCUUUCUAAAAAUGACUGGCAACUAUCUUUGAAAUCAUUUUAUAGAGAACUGUAUAGAGACUUAUCGGCAUAAAAUUCGUUAAAUUCAUCGGAUGGGCUUCUUUCGGUAUGAAUACACUAUUGGUUAUACUGAGAGGUCCCAAAACCUUACCUUCAUUCAAAACUCCUAAAUAGAAGGAACUGACUUCUCCUUCAAUGAUGUGCC